AGGGCACUCAAAGAAAAUGAUAGUAUUUUCAAAAUCUCUCCCAUGCAUCAUACAAAGAUUCAUCAUCCUGCUGUUGAAAAGAAUUGAUCUCAUUCCGGAUCUU
Daucus carota subsp. sativus is the source of this 103-nucleotide non-coding RNA. The record is from Rfam. NCBI's taxonomy places the organism in Eukaryota, Viridiplantae, Streptophyta, Magnoliopsida, Apiales, Apiaceae.